GAGAAUAUUCACCUCAAAUUGGCAUCUACUACACUCCCUGCCCCUGUCCCCCCAUUCCCAGUCACCACGAAUCAGGAUAUAGCUGAGUGAAAAGGUGGCAUGGCUGAAACAUUUAUCAGGCAAUUGAAAACUAGUAUAGAGUACAAUAGUCCUGAGAACAUCGCUUAAUUCUGAGCACUGUGUUUGCAACGUGAUGCAGGAUGGGCCUGUUGCCAUGGCACCAUUGGCACCAUUGUAAACUCAGUACUGACCUCAAGCCCCCACCCAUAGCAAAACGCCCUUGGACCUUUUCUGGAUCCCACCAAAAAAUAUUAAAAUCUGCUGCCCCAGUGCUACUUUCUUUCUACAGGAGACAUGAUACAGUGAAAUAAUUUCCCUACAUUCCAUCAACCUCUGCAUCACACAUUUUCAGUAUUUAAAAGACUCUCUCAUAUUUAUUUGUCUAUGUGAAGUCUCACAACAGUUCACAAAUUUUAGAAUUGCCUUUUGCUGCAUUUAUCUUGCCUGUGAACUCAGCUCUUACAGUCCUAUUUUCACACGUCAUUGCUUGUGUAUAGAAACUGAUUCACAAAUAUUCAGUAAGUUUAUUAUAUGGUGUCAUCUUAGAACCUUCCCAAGUGCAAAAAUCUUCUGCAACAAUGAAGGCUUGGGCUGAUGACCAGUGGCUGCAGAACUUUUGGAUGGUCCACAUUUCUGCAUCUUUGUGCAAAACUCACCAAAAUAAAAGCUGCACUGACAGUGGAGAAGAAAAAACAACUGUACUACGGGGAUCUGCAACACCAGAUUAUUAUUGGUCAAUCACUGCUCUCUCUCCUAAACUAAGAUGGAAUGGAUUUCUUUAAUAUUCAAGACUGUGAGCUAAGAUCAUCAGUGAAGACUCAGGAGUUCAAGCUUCCUGGAGUGGAUUCUUCAGAUUUCCAGACAACGAUUUUCUCCAAAAAAGUUGCACCAAGCAAAAAAUUACCUCAAUACACAUAAUGGCAAGGAAAUCUUUUGAAGAAAAAAUUGCAAAUGUUUUGGCAUACAUAAGGAGUAGCACAUAUCCUGAAGGAAUGAAUAAAGUAGGCAGACUGAACCUGCGUCGAUAUGCUGUCAACUUUUCAUUGGAAGAGGGGAGAUUGUUCCAUUCAGCAAAAGGAAGAAAGGUUGUCGUUGUGCAUACCAUGAAAGAAGCCCUGCAACUCUUUAAAAGGUAUCAUGACAGUCCAGAGGGUGGACAUCUAGGAAUAUUCAAAACCAGGAAUGCGCUGACAUCAAAAUACUAUUGGCCAGGGAUGACGGAAGACAUUGCCAAUUGGGUUGCACAGUGUCUGACUUGCCAGAAAGAGGGAAAGCAAUCAAAUCUGGAUACCACCUUGAAAAGCAUAGAGGUCACUCGGAUCUGGGAAUUGGUGGGAAUGGAUUUAAUAGGACCAUUACCAGUAACAAAGGAUGGAUACCAGUAUAUACUUACAGCCAUAGAUUAUCUUUCAAGAUGGGUGGAAGCCUUUCCACUUAGAAAUAAGUCGUCAAUUGAGGUGGUACAGAUCAUGUUCAGCAUGAUACUUUGAUGUGGAUGCCCACAGCGGAUACUGACAGAUCGUGGUGCAGAAUUCAAUAAUAAGCUUAACUUGUAUGUUUGUAAUAAAUUGGGAAUAGAAUGUAGCUUCACCAGUCCGUACCACCCACAAACCAAUGGCUUGACUGAAAACGCUAAUAAAUCCAUGAAAAGAGCACUGCGGAAGAUGGUUGAUAACAAUGGGAGUAAUUGGGAUAAAUUACUUGAACCCAUUUUGUUUUCUUUGCGAACUAAAAUACAUGCAACAACAAAAUUUUCACCUUUCCGACUAAUGUUUUGUGAUGAUGCAGUGUUUCCUGAAGAUGUCUUAGAUAAUUACACGAUCCCAGAUCUGGAUAUGUUCGGGGAAGAUUUCUGCAAAGAGUACAGCAUGAAUAUGAAAUCGAGACAUGACGCUGACAUUGCGCUGGCCCUAAGUAACAUUGCUAAAGCACAAGAAAAACAACGAAGACAUUAUGCUAAAAGAAAGACUUCUAAAUAUGGGGAAAUAACAUUUGAAGUUGGGGACUCUGUUCUGUUACUGAAUGCUAGACAGAGAACAAGAAAAGGAGGAGUACUGGAAUCUAAAUAUCGGGGACCAUACAAAAUUAUGAGUGUUGAAGGUAAGAGAGUGAAAUUGCAAACCAUCUCAGGGAAACAGUUAGGAACCAUGUACAGUAUUGCACACUUAAAACCAGUAAAAGAACCAACAACAUUAGCUGCUGAAAGCACAUCAGAGGGAAAAACUGGAACUGAAAUUGGAGUUGGUGACACUGAACCAGAAACACCCACGGAAGAGAUUAGAGAAGUGGAUGGCACCGUAUCUCUUGACAGCAAAGUGGAAAACAUAGAGGUCACAGCAAUAGAAAAAGAGGAAUAUAUAGGGCAAGAUGUGUCAAACAAUGAUACAAGUGAUGCUGAUGACAGCUUUGAUGAUAUGCUUACAGAGGAAGUGGAAGACAAGCAAUGGCUUCUGAAAGUAAAAUUGGUAAUGACCAGCAAACACACAGAGAGACUGGAGGCGAAAGUGAGAAACAUAAAAUUGUAUGGCUCUUCAUUUCAUUGCCUGAAACCGAGAAGCUGGAUAAGUGAUGAGGUACAAGCCAUCUCAUCAGUAGUUUCCACUGUCAUUCUCUCAGGCAGAGCUACACAAGUGAAAGUGAAGAGUGAAUUACUUCAAAAUGAUAUAUUAUUGCUUCCUUACCACACACCAGGUCAUUGGGUUCUUGCGAUAGCCUUGAUGAAAAAAAAAGGAAUUGUUAAUAAUUGACCCAUUGUGUGAUGAGAUCAGAUAUGAAAGAACAUGCCUGAGGAAUUGGAGGUGAUUUAUUAGAUACUUACUUUCACAGUGGACACUAACUGUUCCAUUGAAAUUGUUUUUAAAGGGAAUGUUACAAUAAUGAGAAUAAUGUCUUCCUAUUAGCUACAAAUAAACAUUGAAACAGCAUAUACUUGUACUGAAUGUACUUAAUAAUGGACUUUGAGUGAACUUGUGUGAUGUGACUCUGGGGAACGACUUCACAGAAUGUGGACACACACGAAACAGUAGCAUGUUGCAUGAUUGAGAAUGUGUUAUUAUCAACAUGGGGCACAGCAACUCAGGUGACACACUGUAAACUUCAUCAAACGAUUAACUAGUAAAUCCUCAUCUGAUUGGAACAGUAAAAUUAUGCAGCAUCCCAGACAAAGUGAUGGCCACAACUGUGGACCACUCAUCUUAAAGUUUGCAGAAACAUAUUUGCAGCACAAAGACAUCAGUAUGGUGGAAACAACACAGAAGGCUAAUACUGCGUUUAGAAGACAUAUAGCAAUUCUUCUAAUGAAGGAGUCAGAAAACGUGGAGGACUACUGCAUAUACUGCAACCUUAUCGACUGUGAAAAAGAAAGUGAGGAUUGCACGAUGGUCCAGUGUGAUUCUUGCAAGAGGUGGGCACACAUACCAUGCAUUACAGAAGGAAUCAACCAAGAAAACCUGACAUAUGAGAAGAAAGAGUACAACUGCAAGACAUGUGCAUAGUUCACUUCAUUAACAAAAAGAAAAAAGGCAAUAAAGAAAACCCAUUGUUUAACUGCCUCUUGUUCAAAACAUAAUGCAACCCAAAGAAAUAUAUUUCUAUGUAUACAUCAGAUUAUAUUAAAUGUUCUUGAUGUUAAAUAAAUUAUUCUCUGUAUUUCUGUCCAUAUAUAUAAUGCAAACUAUAAAAUUUUAAAAGUAAUUUAAAAAAAUGAAAGUGGUGUCAUCAUAGGAGUGCUCCAUACCCCGAAACCUAACCUCCCUUUUCAUGUAUUCAUACACAAGAAAGCAAAAGAGCGUGCCUCGAUCACCCAAUAGGUCAAUUUGGCCCAUUAGCCAGGAGGAAGCAGAUCGUGAGUGUUUUCGA
RNA transcript from Gopherus evgoodei (Goodes thornscrub tortoise), 3918 nucleotides. RefSeq lists it as uncharacterized. The transcript is spliced from 18 exons. The record is from RefSeq and is a predicted model, not a curated record. NCBI's taxonomy places the organism in Eukaryota, Metazoa, Chordata, Testudines, Testudinidae.